AUCCAAAUGACGACUCUCAAAUAGGAUGAAAUGCGCGUUCUGGAU
Non-coding RNA from Schistosoma rodhaini, 45 nucleotides. The record is from Rfam. NCBI's taxonomy places the organism in Eukaryota, Metazoa, Platyhelminthes, Trematoda, Strigeidida, Schistosomatidae.